AUAUGCAUUCUGAUUUGGUUGGUUAAUUGGUUAUGGUCAUUCUUAUUCACUUUCAGGGAUCAAAGAAUCAGAAAGAAAAAAACAUAUAAAACUCUGCAGCAACAAUCUACUGUAGUAAUCUUGUUAUUCACUUUAAAGUUAAGACUUCCAGCAACAACACCUCUGGCACUCUACAGAUUCCCUAGAUGUGACAAGCGAAGUAGAAAAGGAUACUUAAGACUCCUUGAAAGUAGUAACUUUAUUUAUUUCUUUGUGUUGAAAGUAGUAACUUUUAACUAUGUUGAAUAUUUAAGACUCUUUGAAUACUUAAAGAACAUUUUGUUGUUGAUGACAGUGUUGAAUGUUUUAAACUAAUUUGUGGAUUGUUAAUACAAUGUUGAAUGUUCUUA
Humulus lupulus (European hop) is the source of this 389-nucleotide long non-coding RNA. RefSeq lists it as uncharacterized. The transcript is spliced from 2 exons. The record is from RefSeq and is a predicted model, not a curated record. Lineage: Eukaryota; Viridiplantae; Streptophyta; Magnoliopsida; Rosales; Cannabaceae.